This 727-nucleotide ribosomal RNA is filed under the name uncultured archaeon. RNAcentral describes it as "bacterial SSU rRNA". It matches the Rfam family "Archaeal small subunit ribosomal RNA", at positions 42 to 774 of the family's 1478-position model. The record is from RNAcentral.
UACUAAGCCAUGCGAGUCAUUGUAGCAAUACAAGGCAGACGGCUCAGUAACGCGUAGUCAACCUACCCUAUGGACGGGAAUAACCUCGGGAAACUGAGUAUAAUGCCCGAUAGAACAUUAUAUCUGGUAUGGUUUAUGUUCCAAAUGAUUUAUCGCCAUAGGAUGGGACUGCGGCCUAUCAGUUUGUUGGUGAGGUAAUGGCCCACCAAGACUAUUACAGGUACGGGCUCUGAGAGGAGUGGCCCGGAGAUGGGUACUGAGACACGGACCCAGGCCCUAUGGGGCGCAGCAGGCGAGAAAACUUCGCAAUGUGCGAAAGCACGACAAGGUUAAUCCGAGUGGUUUCUGCUAAAGGAACCUUUUGACAGUCCUAGAAACACUGUUGAAUAAGGGGUGGGCAAGUUCUGGUGUCAGCCGCCGCGGUAAAACCAGCACCUCAAGUGGUCAGGAUGAUUAUUGGGCCUAAAGCAUCCGUANCCGGCUCUGUAAGUUUUCGGUUAAAUCUGUACGCUUAACCGUACAGGCUGCUGGGAAUNCUGCAGAGCUAGGGAGUGGGAGAGGUAGACGGUACUCGGGAAGAAGCGGUAAAAUGCUUUGAUCUCUCGAUGACCACCUGUGGCGAAGGCGGUCUACCAGAACACGUCCGACGGUGAGGGAUGAAUGCUGNGGGAGCAAACCGGAUUAGAUACCCGGGUAGUCCCAGCUGUAAACUAUGCNAACUCAGUGA